GUGCCUAAUACAUGCAAGUCAACGGCUUUCUAUGGAAGCUUGCUUCCACUGAGAAGAUAGUGGCGAACGGGUGAGUAACACGUGGGUAACCUGCCCAUAAGAGGGGGAUAACAUCCGGAAACGGGUGCUAAUACCGCAUAGUUUUCUUGAUCGCAUGAUUGAGAAAGGAAAGACGGCCUUUGUGCUGUCGCUUAUGGAUGGACCCGCGGCGUAUUAGUUAGUUGGUGAGGUAACGGCUCACCAAGACGAUGAUACGUAGCCGACCUGAGAGGGUGAUCGGCCACAUUGGGACUGAGACACGGCCCAAACUCCUACGGGAGGCAGCAGUAGGGAAUCUUCCGCAAUGGACGAAAGUCUGACGGAGCAACGCCGCGUGAGUGAAAGAAGGUUUUCGGAUCGUAAAACUCUGUUGUCAGAGAAGAACAAGUUGGAGAGUAACUGCUCCAGCCUUGACGGUAUCUGACCAGAAAGCCACGGCUAACUACGUGCCAGCCGCGGC
Molecule: ribosomal RNA, 499 nt
Filed under: uncultured bacterium
Lineage: Bacteria
Description: bacterial SSU rRNA
Rfam family: Bacterial small subunit ribosomal RNA
Source: RNAcentral